UUGGCCAGACAGCCUGGCCCUAAUGGGACACAGAGAACUUGGGGCUCCUUGGAAGACUGAUACUGUUUCUGGAGUCUCUGCUUUCUCUGCCCUACCCUGCCUCUGGUGUCUCUAGCAGGAGACCCCACAAAGCACCAGCCCUCCCAGGUCUGCCGGCUCCAGCCCGUAGGAUUGGCUUAAACAAUGUGUGAGAGCCAUGGAGCACCAUCUAAUAAAAAUCACAACAAGGAGGAUAAUUUUCCAGCCUUUUCAGGCCCUGAUUGGUAUCAUUUCUCCAGCAAGGACAGCUUUUAUUUUCCCCGAAAUGAAUGCCAUGAAAUUUCCAAGAAAUGUAAAAAUGGAUAUUGUCUCAGAGAGCCUCUUCCGACAGAAAGGCACAGAGGCAAACACGCUUCCCUAGGGACUCUUCUGCUCCAGUCCCGGGGGUGGGGUGGGGGGCAGCCCCCAGGCCCUCAGUCUCUCCUCCCUCCUUUUGCCCUCCCUCAUCCCUUCCUCCUCCCUCCCGGGUCAGCUCUGGGACCCCCCUUCCAGCCACCCUCUCCCAGACUCAGCUGCUAUUGGUCUGCUCAUGGGCCUCCCGACUCCCUGCCGGGCGACCUGCCUGGCUCCACCUCACCUUUUCUUUUCACAUCGCAU
RNAcentral lists this long non-coding RNA (636 nucleotides) under Homo sapiens (human). RNAcentral describes it as "HSALNT0048762". Lineage: Eukaryota; Metazoa; Chordata; Mammalia; Primates; Hominidae. The record is from RNAcentral.